Non-coding RNA from Salvia hispanica, 939 nucleotides. NCBI's taxonomy places the organism in Eukaryota, Viridiplantae, Streptophyta, Magnoliopsida, Lamiales, Lamiaceae. The record is from RefSeq and is a predicted model, not a curated record.
CUCCUCCCCCCUUACUCCUUUCAAAGCUUGGUCUUUUAAAGCUUUAUGUUCUUGGGCAGAUUGUUAUUACUGCUUUAUCACUUGAUGUGGGAAGUCUUAGUUGCAUUGAGUGGGGUUUGCGAUAUGAGAAGGAAUGUAGCUACUGGAAUUGGUCUUUAGCUAUUGUAUUAGAGUUCUGAUUUUUCAAUUGGGGCACUUAGCUUACUGUAUUGAGAACUUGAGGGUUCUGCUAUUGUUCCAUACUUGGUUGUGAGAAUCCUAUAGAAAUUCUAAGUUCUUGUGCUAUCUACUGAGCUAGCUCUACAUGAUGCAAAGGGUGUUGAGGGAAUUACCUCACUUGGUGAAUCCUUGAUUCUUGGCUGCCACCUCCUUCUCUCUGCCACCGCCUCUCCUUCGAUACUUCUUAAAAAUAUUCAAACUUUGGGGUGCUUGAGCGGUAUGGGAGAGAAGUGGCGUUGGGUGGUUUAUAUAGCCACUUUGCUUGGCUGUUUGUGAUUGGAAUCUUGGAGGCAAAGGCUCCUAUUUUGGGGUUGCUAGUUCUUUCUCUUUCGAGCUUGAUGAUUGUGAGAUUCUUGCCGUUUUGGUGAUUGUGGCUGAUCUUCUUGGCUGAUUUCUCGGCCUUGAUCGACGGGGAGAUGAGAGUUUGACUCAUCUUCUACUUUGGGCUUGUGUACAUGGAGGCAUUCUUGGAGCUUGUGGAGGGGAGCAAAAUCGAGAAUAAGAAUGGGAGGGAAAGAAAGAAGAUGCUCCUCUUGAGCCCAUUUGGUUCUAUCCUCAAUUUAGUUUGCUUCCAAACUUGAGAAUUAAAGAAGUGGAUAGAUAGUGUAGAAUAGGUGCAUGUUGAUUUUAUCACACUUGAAGGCAUGUACUAUUUCCAUUAUCCAUGUAUUUUAUUCCUCAAGGUGUAUCCGCAUUUCUCUAAUGAAAGUAUUUUCUCCA